RNAcentral lists this ribosomal RNA (110 nucleotides) under Escherichia coli. The record is from RNAcentral. Lineage: Bacteria; Pseudomonadati; Pseudomonadota; Gammaproteobacteria; Enterobacterales; Enterobacteriaceae.
GGCAGUAGCGCGGUGGUCCCACCUGACCCCAUGCCGAACUCAGAAGUGAAACGCCGUAGCGCCGAUGGUAGUGUGGGGUUUCCCCAUGCGAGAGUAGGGAACUGCCAGGC